This is a long non-coding RNA of Sebastes umbrosus (honeycomb rockfish), 669 nucleotides long. RefSeq lists it as uncharacterized. NCBI's taxonomy places the organism in Eukaryota, Metazoa, Chordata, Actinopteri, Perciformes, Sebastidae. The record is from RefSeq and is a predicted model, not a curated record. The transcript has 5 exons.
AAAAAAAGAAAAUACACAACAGAUGGUCUGAAAGAGAAAUCUUCACUCUUGAUAUUUACAGCGGAAGUGAAUGCUCAGGGCUACACGUGUUAAGCAGAUGUGUGGGAAUUGGAGAGAACAUCAAGGUUAAGACGAAAGGUGCACAGAAAACCCCAGGCAUCUCCGCUACCUGUGAUGUUGAGUUGGAGCUCUGUACCAGUCAUACAUUAUCGGUCAGAAGGAUCCAUGAAAGCAGUGUGCAGCCUGCACGCCAGCCAGCAUUUCCCUGUGUAUGUUUCAUGAGGAUGACGAUAUGAUGAUACAACAACAGCGCUCAGCUGUAUAAUUUUAACCAGCUUCAAAACUUUCCCCGCUGUGAUGAGGAACCCUUUGAUGUCUCCACAGCCUCUUGUCACAUAUGCAUCCACGGCUGGAUCCAGCUCCCCAGGUGAGGAAUGAUGAUGAGAAAGCGCGAGGCAACCGGCAGAGAUUUUCCAUGCUGGGCCGUGAGUGCUCGGGGAUCUUUUGGGAAAAUGCCUCCACAGAUGAAUCUGAUGUAUGCUCAAGACACACGGCUGAAAUAGCGAAUAUGACUCCGCAGACACAAACAGAGGCUCUUGUGUGUCACGCCCCAUGCAUGCCAAGUGAAUGUAUGUAUUAAAACCUCAGCUGCACAGUCAGCCACACAUG